GUGUCCACGAGUCCCCUAGAGAAGGGCUUUCCCUUCGGGGACAGAGUGACAGGUGGUGCAUGGUUGUCGUCAGCUCGUGUCGUGAGAUGUUGGGUUAAGUCCCGCAACGAGCGCAACCCUUGAUCUUAGUUGCCAGCAUUCAGUUGGGCACUCUAAGGUGACUGCCGGUGACAAACCGGAGGAAGGUGGGGAUGACGUCAAAUCAUCAUGCCCCUUAUGACCUGGGCUACACACGUGCUACAAUGGACAGAACAAAGGGCUGCAAGACCGCAAGGUUUAGCCAAUCCCAUAAAUCUGUUCUCAGUUCGGAUCGCAGUCUGCAACUCGACUGCGUGAAGCUGGAAUCGCUAGUAAUCGCGGAUCAGCAUGCCGCGGUGAAUACGUUCCCGGGCCUUGUACACACCGA
Molecule: ribosomal RNA, 406 nt
Filed under: Bacillus sp. KNP15
Lineage: Bacteria; Bacillati; Bacillota; Bacilli; Caryophanales; Bacillaceae
Description: bacterial SSU rRNA
Rfam family: Bacterial small subunit ribosomal RNA
Source: RNAcentral